UACGUAGGGGGCUAGCGUUGUCCGGAUUUAUUGGGCGUAAAGAGCGUGUAGGCGGCCAGGUAGGUCUGCUGUGAAAACUCGAGGCUCAACCUCGAGAUGUCGGCGGAAACCAUCUGGCUAGAGUCCGGAAGAGGAGAGUGGAAUUCCUGGUGUAGCGGUGAAAUGCGCAGAUAUCAGGAAGAACACCGGUGGCGAAGGCAGCUCUCUGGGACGGUACUGACGCUGAGACGCGAAAGCGUGGGGAGCGAACAGG
Molecule: ribosomal RNA, 253 nt
Filed under: uncultured bacterium
Lineage: Bacteria
Description: partial 16S ribosomal RNA
Rfam family: Bacterial small subunit ribosomal RNA
Source: RNAcentral